This 253-nucleotide ribosomal RNA is filed under the name uncultured bacterium. RNAcentral describes it as "partial 16S ribosomal RNA". It matches the Rfam family "Bacterial small subunit ribosomal RNA", at positions 524 to 776 of the family's 1533-position model. The record is from RNAcentral.
UACAGAGGGUGCGAGCGUUGUUCGGAAUUAUUGGGCGUAAAGCGCAUGUAGGUGGCCUGUUAAGUCGCUUGUGAAAGCCCCAGGCUCAACCUGGGAAGUGCGGGCGAAACUGGCGGGCUUGAGUGCCGGAGAGGGUGGCGGAAUUCCCGGUGUAGAGGUGAAAUUCGUAGAUAUCGGGAGGAACACCAGAGGCGAAGGCGGCCACCUGGAAGGCGACUGACACUGAGACGCGAAAGCGUGGGGAGCAAACAGG